Molecule: ribosomal RNA, 253 nt
Filed under: uncultured bacterium
Lineage: Bacteria
Description: partial 16S ribosomal RNA
Rfam family: Bacterial small subunit ribosomal RNA
Source: RNAcentral
UACGUAGGUGGCAAGCGUUGUCCGGAUUUAUUGGGUUUAAAGGGUGCGUAGGCGGCCCUGUAAGUCAGUGGUGAAAUACUCCAGCUUAACUGGAGGGGUGCCAUUGAUACUGCAGGGCUUGAGUGGAGUCGAAGUAGGCGGAAUUGACGGUGUAGCGGUGAAGUGCUUAGAUAUCGUCAAGAACACCGAUAGUGAAGACAGCUUACUAGGCUUCUACUGACGCUGAGGCACGAAAGUGUGGGGAUCAAACAGG